UGAACUUUGAGAUCACGCAUCAUUGCGACUACUUUUUCCAAAAGUACAUGUAAUUUAUCAGUAAACCCUGAAAUACAAAGUAUUAUGCCACGAGUAGAUGGUGAAAGUGAAAAGGAAAGACCAGCUAAGCUAGCAGGAUAAGAAUAUUCUCCUAGAGCAUCUUCUAUUAAUCGCGUGUAAAGUGUCGUCGACACAGAAACUUUGGGAGACCUCCUGGCGAUUGGAGAUAUGAAAUUUAUGAAAACGUUAGCUUUAGGUACCCAAAAAGUGUCAUCCUUUUUAUGCCAUAAUCUUACAAAUUUGUCAUUUCGCACCAAAUUCGGCACUUUCAGUUUCGUCGUUACUGGCUGCUUUUCAACUUCUAAAGACCAAGGAAUGAAUUCAUUUGCCAAAGGCAAGUAAAGUUCACUGGAUGUCUUAAUAUGUAGCAAAGAGUCUAUAAACUGAGAAUCCAAAUCCUCCAAUCCGUAAUCUAUGCCAUAGAACUUCUCUUUAUUAUCAAGUCCUUUCUCAAUUGAAUGAGCAGCUAAAAUGGCAAAAAAGUUAUUAGGACGAAGACUCUCAACAACCUCCUGAAUACCUUUAGGGUCAAAUUCAGUGAGUACUGAGGAAUAAUAAAGGACUUUAUCACGAGGAUAUUCUCGUUGAAGCUUGC
This is a non-coding RNA of Schizosaccharomyces pombe (fission yeast), 655 nucleotides long. The record is from the annotation of a GenBank genome assembly. Lineage: Eukaryota; Fungi; Ascomycota; Schizosaccharomycetes; Schizosaccharomycetales; Schizosaccharomycetaceae.